UCUUACCUGCUAUCUGAAUCGAAUCCCAUCGUCGUGGUCAACUCCUCUCUGUGUCUCAAGUCCACUGGUGUACAUAGCGAGGUACUGGAAAAACUGGUAACAACGGAAAAGCUGUCCAUAUGAAGACCUGAUGCAGUAAUGCAAGGCUGUUGUGGAAGCCUUCUGAAGAUUUAUUUCCGAGAGCGAGGUCAGUCGAUGGAGAGCAGGAGGAUCUUUAACAUGUCACAACCUGCAACAGAGACAUCACAGUUUACAGGCUUCUAUUCCAUUCAUCUAGCAGAUAUGGUCUUAAAGAUGACACUUAUUGACCACAUCUUUCCAGUCUUCAUCUGUACAAUACAACCACAUUGCGUUAUUUGAAAUA
Molecule: non-coding RNA, 364 nt
Organism: Danio rerio (zebrafish)
Lineage: Eukaryota; Metazoa; Chordata; Actinopteri; Cypriniformes; Danionidae
Source: RefSeq, a predicted model, not a curated record